CCUACGGGGGGCUGCAGUGAGGAAUAUUGGUCAAUGGGCGCGAGUCUGAACCAGCCAAGUAGCGUGAAGGAUGACUGCCCUACGGGUUGUAAACUUCUUUUAUAUAGGAAUAAAGUGAUGCACGUGUGCCUUUUUGUAUGUACCUUAUGAAUAAGGAUCGGCUAACUCCGUGCCAGCAGCCGCGGUAAUACGGAGGAUCCGAGCGUUAUCCGGAUUUAUUGGGUUUAAAGGGAGCGUAGAUGGGUUGUUAAGUCAGUUGUGAAAGUUUGCGGCUCAACCGUAAAAUUGCAAUUGAUACUGGCAGCCUUGAGUACAGUUGAGGUAGGCGGAAUUCGUGGUGUAGCGGUGAAAUGCUUAGAUAUCACGAAGAACUCCGAUUGCGAAGGCAGCCUACUAAACUGCCACUGACAUUGAUGCUCGAAAGUGUGGGUAUCAAACAGGAUUAGAUACCCGGGUAGUC
This 460-nucleotide ribosomal RNA is filed under the name uncultured bacterium. RNAcentral describes it as "partial 16S ribosomal RNA". It matches the Rfam family "Bacterial small subunit ribosomal RNA", at positions 338 to 795 of the family's 1533-position model. The record is from RNAcentral.